CUCCAGAUGUUGCUGAACUACAACUCCCAUGAUUCUCUCGCUAUCUAUGUAAUUAAAAGAAUCAUGGGAGUUGUAGUUCAGCAACAUCUGGAG
This 93-nucleotide microRNA precursor is filed under the name Pelobates cultripes (western spadefoot toad). The record is from RNAcentral. Lineage: Eukaryota; Metazoa; Chordata; Amphibia; Anura; Pelobatidae.